ACUAAUCAUAUGAUUUUGUUGUAUUUUUCUUCAGUUAUCUGAAGGUUGUAUUUCCUUUUAUCUUAAGUAAGAGUAAGCCCUGGACAAGAGUGUAAACCUUCCGAUGUUCAGACCCUUGCAUCACAGAGCUGUAUUACAGCUGGAACAGCUGUUCCUUUUCACAUAGAUUAUAGAGCAGCUGAUCCAGCUCGCAUGCAGCUCUGUUAGCUAAAUGGUUAGCCCCUCUUUGUGUUCCAGCUAGCUCUCCUUCACUGAAGGAGGAGUGUUUUCUGUCCCUCUGUCCCUCUCCGUGUCUGUCUGUCUGCCUGCCCUGUAGGUUUUCACUGGAGGCCGAGCUCGAUAUGAAAAUUCCUCUCUUAGCUUUGAAUGUCACUGACAUUUUCGACCAACAUAAAGCCGACUUCAGACACAUAUGCUCAGAGCCACUGUAUGUCUCCAAGGCUGUCCAGAGAGCCAAAAUGGAGGUCAAUGAAGACGGAACCAAAGCAUCAGUCGCCACGGCUUCGGUCCUGUUAACCAGAUCUUCCCCUCCACCAGUGACCAUAGACAGACCAUUCCUCUUCCUCAUUCGACACAACCCCACAGGGACUCUGCUUUUCAUGGGACUGAUCAACGAUCCCUUGGCACCAUGCCAACCAACCCCCGAACCGGAACUGCCUGUGUUUCCACCUCAAACACCAAAAAUAAAAAUAAAAAUAAAAUAAAAAAAUUUAUACUGGUUUUUCAGGCAGACGUACAAACAGAUGUAAUGUUGCACAUCAUUUAACUGGUAAUAAAAUCAGUUCCCCAUUUCUGUA
This is a long non-coding RNA of Anguilla anguilla (European eel), 797 nucleotides long. RefSeq lists it as uncharacterized. NCBI's taxonomy places the organism in Eukaryota, Metazoa, Chordata, Actinopteri, Anguilliformes, Anguillidae. The transcript has 4 exons. The record is from RefSeq and is a predicted model, not a curated record.